This 159-nucleotide ribosomal RNA is filed under the name Negria rhabdothamnoides. RNAcentral describes it as "5.8S ribosomal RNA". It matches the Rfam family "5.8S ribosomal RNA". From Rfam's summary of the family: 5.8S ribosomal RNA (5.8S rRNA) is a component of the large subunit of the eukaryotic ribosome. It is transcribed by RNA polymerase I as part of the 45S precursor that also contains 18S and 28S rRNA. Functionally, it is thought that 5.8S rRNA may be involved in ribosome translocation. The record is from RNAcentral. Lineage: Eukaryota; Viridiplantae; Streptophyta; Magnoliopsida; Lamiales; Gesneriaceae.
UAAAUGACUCUCGGCAACGGAUAUCUCGGCUCUCGCAUCGAUGAAGAACGUAGCGAAAUGCGAUACUUGGUGUGAAUUGCAGAAUCCCGUGAACCAUCGAGUCUUUGAACGCAAGUUGCGCCCGAAGCCACUGGGCCGAGGGCACGUCUGCCUGGGCGU